UGCUAGCUUUGAAGGCAACCCCGACGAGACGCGCCGUACCGGGACAACGCAAAGACGACGCACC
RNAcentral lists this non-coding RNA (64 nucleotides) under Streptomyces davaonensis. RNAcentral also lists the same sequence under 1 other name. Lineage: Bacteria; Bacillati; Actinomycetota; Actinomycetes; Kitasatosporales; Streptomycetaceae. The record is from RNAcentral.